CCUACCAAAGAACUAUGGCUACUUAGACUUAAGAGCAGAUGUCCACUGAAAUGGAGCAAAAUCGAGAAUUCGCGGACACAUUCAAAAUUUCGAUUUUGCUCAUUUUUGGUUUGCUGGAAGGCAUUAGCAAGUAAACAAACGUGAUAUGGUUUGUUUUCCAAAAACCGUUAAAAUUCCGAGAAAUCCGAGAAAAACCGUUCGGCUGUCGGCGACCUCAAAAAUAUGCAAAUUUUCAGUUGAAUCAAACAAGUUCAAAAACAGGUAACGCAUGCAAAGUAGGAAAAAGAUGUGAAAACUAUACGUUUGUAAAUCGAUAGAAGAGAUGUUUGAGACUUGAUUUGGCAUAAAAUAAUAAUUUUAGCUAUUAAUUAAAACCUGACAGCUG
Molecule: non-coding RNA, 385 nt
Organism: Paramuricea clavata
Lineage: Eukaryota; Metazoa; Cnidaria; Anthozoa; Malacalcyonacea; Plexauridae
Source: the annotation of a GenBank genome assembly